GACGAACGCUGGCGGCGUGCUUAACACAUGCAAGUCGAACGAGAUCCAACCGGUGGCAACACUGGUGAAGAUCUAGUGGCGAACGGGUGAGUAACACGUGAGCAACCUGCCCCGAAGACCGGGAUAACAGCGGGAAACCGCUGCUAAUACCGGAUGUCCCCAUCGGACCACAUGGCCUGAUGAGGAAAUGGAUUCCGCUUCGGGAGGGACUCGCGGCCUAUCAGCUUGUUGGUGAGGUAACGGCCCACCAAGGCGACGACGGGUAGCUGGUCUGAGAGGACGAUCAGCCACACUGGGACUGAGACACGGCCCAGACUCCUACGGGAGGCAGCAGUGGGGAAUCUUGCGCAAUGGGCGAAAGCCUGACGCAGCAACGCCGCGUGAGGGAUGAAGGCCUUCGGGUUGUAAACCUCUUUCAAGCAGGGACGAUAAUGACGGUACCUGCAGAAGAAGCUCCGGCCAACUACGUGCCAGCAGCCGCGGUAAUACGUAGGGAGCGAGCGUUGUCCGGAUUCAUUGGGCGUAAAGAGCUCGUAGGCGGCUUGAUAAGUCGGAUGUGAAACCUCCAGGCUCAACCUGGAGUCGCCAUCCGAUACUGUCA
RNAcentral lists this ribosomal RNA (601 nucleotides) under uncultured bacterium. Its description in RNAcentral is "bacterial SSU rRNA". It matches the Rfam family "Bacterial small subunit ribosomal RNA", at positions 28 to 638 of the family's 1533-position model. The record is from RNAcentral.